UCCUGCAAAGUAAUUUUUACAUUUAGCUUCGACCUAAAACCUUGGGUUUAUAGUUCCCUGCAUGAA
Molecule: transfer RNA, 66 nt
Filed under: Pseudomyrmex veneficus
Lineage: Eukaryota; Metazoa; Arthropoda; Insecta; Hymenoptera; Formicidae
Description: tRNA-Arg
Source: RNAcentral